CCGCCCGUCACACCAUGGAAGUGUAUUGCACCAGAAGCAGGUAGCCUGACCGCAAGGAGGGCGCCUACCACGGUGUGGUCCAUGACUGGGGUGAAGUCGUAACAAGGUACCC
RNAcentral lists this ribosomal RNA (112 nucleotides) under uncultured bacterium. RNAcentral describes it as "partial 16S ribosomal RNA". It matches the Rfam family "Bacterial small subunit ribosomal RNA", at positions 1390 to 1501 of the family's 1533-position model. The record is from RNAcentral.